AUACGAAGGGGGCUAGCGUUGUUCGGAAUUACUGGGCGUAAAGCGCACGUAGGCGGAUAUUUAAGUCAGGGGUGAAAUCCCAGAGCUCAACUCUGGAACUGCCUUUGAUACUGGGUAUCUUGAGUAUGGAAGAGGUAAGUGGAAUUCCGAGUGUAGAGGUGAAAUUCGUAGAUAUUCGGAGGAACACCAGUGGCGAAGGCGGCUUACUGGUCCAUUACUGACGCUGAGGUGCGAAAGCGUGGGGAGCAAACAGGAUUAGAUACCCUUGUAGUCC
This 274-nucleotide ribosomal RNA is filed under the name uncultured bacterium. RNAcentral's name for it is "partial 16S ribosomal RNA". It matches the Rfam family "Bacterial small subunit ribosomal RNA", at positions 523 to 796 of the family's 1533-position model. The record is from RNAcentral.